AACUUUUGGCAGUAUCAUAACCAAUGAAGUUAAUCUGAGGUGUGAUUAUUGCUAGUUGAAAACUUUUCCCCCCAUAAUGUUCUGAGUGUAUGAAGCAGGCUCCACCCCUUCCAGUGACUCCUCCCAAUGUCACAUGACCAUUUAAUAUCUGCAUGACAUGC
RNAcentral lists this small nuclear RNA (161 nucleotides) under Chelonoidis abingdonii (Abingdon island giant tortoise). RNAcentral describes it as "U4 spliceosomal RNA (ENSCABG00000007169.1)". The stretch from base 1 to 76 matches the Rfam family "U4 spliceosomal RNA". The record is from RNAcentral. Lineage: Eukaryota; Metazoa; Chordata; Testudines; Testudinidae.